CUUCGCUUCUUUUGAAGCAACUGCAGCACUUAAUACAACAGUGUCACCAUAACGUACUAAAACAGCACCAUUGGCUUGUUUGGCAAGUUGACCGAUUUCAACUUGCAGAGGGCGUCCGCCCCAAGUGGUUUUGAAAACUUGUUUUUCUGACAUAACUUCUCCUUUGCCCUUUGACCAGUGCGA
Enterococcus devriesei is the source of this 183-nucleotide non-coding RNA. Lineage: Bacteria; Bacillati; Bacillota; Bacilli; Lactobacillales; Enterococcaceae. The record is from Rfam.